RNAcentral lists this ribosomal RNA (253 nucleotides) under uncultured bacterium. Its description in RNAcentral is "partial 16S ribosomal RNA". It matches the Rfam family "Bacterial small subunit ribosomal RNA", at positions 524 to 776 of the family's 1533-position model. The record is from RNAcentral.
UACGUAGGGUGCGAGCGUUAAUCGGAAUUACUGGGCGUAAAGCGUGCGCAGGCGGUUUUGUAAGACAGAUGUGAAAUCCCCGGGCUCAACCUGGGAACUGCGUUUGUGACUGCAAGACUCGAGUGCGGCAGAGGGGGGUGGAAUUCCACGUGUAGCAGUGAAAUGCGUAGAGAUGCGGAGGAACACCGAUGGCGAAGGCAGCCCCCUGGGCUGACACUGACGCUCAGGCACGAAAGCGUGGGGAGCAAACAGG